Molecule: long non-coding RNA, 2839 nt
Organism: Thunnus maccoyii (southern bluefin tuna)
Lineage: Eukaryota; Metazoa; Chordata; Actinopteri; Scombriformes; Scombridae
Exons: 2
Source: RefSeq, a predicted model, not a curated record
GCUGGUUCAGAUUUUCAGCUGGAAACAUUAAUAUGUUCAUUUUCAAAUAUUUGUUAUUACUAUGGAACUAAUAUUAAUCUGCAAAAUGGAAAAGUGAAGCUGAAAAAACUAGAAGCAGCUUUUGUCUCCUUCUGCUCGAAAAUAAGGAGCCAUUUUGUUUCAUAAAAGUCUAGGCAGAUCUGGCUGCAGACAAGAUGGCGGAUGUCUGAGUAGGCACUAAUGUUUAUUUUAUCAGGAGCAUCAAGGAGUUACGACAUCAACCAAGGCCACAUACUACAGGAUUUACAGCCGAAGCUGUUUAUGAACCUGCAAAAUUACAUAUUCACAAAUGUAUAUUUAGUAAUUUAGUCAUGUAAAUGUUGAAAUGAAGAACUCAUUUUGUUUCAAAUCAUUCUGGCGGGAGAUUCCGCUCCUUGGCAACAGUGACGAAGUGGGACGGUUAAUCUCGCGUGAGUUUACAAAUAACCGCGAGAAAACGGAGGUGGCAUUUGAACUGAGUCAGAAAUGCGGUCCCGUCAGUCACAGAGGAGACCUGCUGGAUUUCACUGAACCAGGACCACUACAGUACGGGAUGGAGGAGAACCAGAACCCGGAGCACCGCAACCACCGACAACCCCCGUGUUACCAACAGGUCAUAAACAGAAACAACAAGAGGGGAAGGGACUCAAACAUCACCGCUGUCAGCACUGUCACAAAGCCUUCACAAAAUCAAGAUAUUUAAAGAUUCAUCAGAGUUCACACACAAGAGAAACUUCACAGCUGUGACCAAUCACUGGAGACCGUAAUCGAAAAAGGCACCAACGCAUUUAUAGUGGAGAAAAACCAUACAACUGUGACCAAUGUGGGAAAGCUUUCACUGCAGACGAUUGUCUUAAAGUCCACUAAUGCAUUCAUACUGGAGAGAGUCCGUACAGCUGGGACCAAUGUGGGAAAGCUCUCACUCAACCAAGUAAUCUAAAAAGAAACCAGCGCAUCACACUGGAGAGAAGCCGUACAGCUGUGUAAUGUGGGAAAGCUUUCACUAGAGACGAUGUUCUGAAAGCACACCAACUGACUCAUACCGGAGAGAAACCAUACUGGUGUGACCAAUGUGGGAAAACUUUCACCUCAAACAAAGACAUAAAAGUCCACCAAUGUAUUCACAUGGGAGGGAAACCAUACUGGUGUGAGCAAUGUGGGACAGCUUUUACUACAGGCAGAACUCUAAAAGUCCAUUGAUGCAUUCAUUCGGGAGAUAAACCAUACUUUUGUGAGCAAUGUGGGAAAGCUUUCCUUAGAGACUGGGCUUUAAAACACCACCAACACAUUCAUACUGGAGAGAGGCCGUACAGCUGUGGCCAAUUUGGAAAAGCUUUCACAAGAGAAGAUCAUCUAAAAGUCCACCAACUCAGUCAUACUAGAGAGAAACCAUACUGGUGUGAUCAAUGUGGGAAAACUUUCACUACAAACUGUGCUCGAAAACUCCACCAAUUCAUUCAUACUGGAGAGAAACCAUACAGCUGUGUGGAAUGUGGAAAAGCUUUCACUCAAGUCAGUGGUCUAAAAAUGCAUCAACUCAUUCAUACUGGAGAGAAGCUGUACUGGUGUGAGAACCUUCACUCAAGGCAGUCAUCUAAAAACCCGCCAACACUCAGCAUGGUGUUGAACAUGUUUUACAGGCUGUCUCCUCUCAGUGCCUUUAAUAACAGUAUUGUUCUAUCCUGAGCUUCUCUACAAACUGAGGGCUGCCAACAGUAACAUUAGAAUCAGCAUGUAUGCCAUGUGUGGCGCAUGUGACCGAAUUUAAAGCUCAGUUAUUGGCUAUUUCUUGCAGAAAUGCAUCUUGGGAGUCGUAGUUAACUUCUACCCUUAAAGGUUUUUAUUUUAUUUUUGUUUCAUUUGUUUUUUUUUUCAAUUCCAUGUUGAUCCAAGUCGUACAAGUGCUCAAACUGUAUCAGGUAACAUUGUCUUUGGGGAAAAACGAACAGUAUUUUACACCCAAAAUACCUCCUCCCGCCUCGCAAAUCUAUAGAUCUAAUUCUAAGAUCUCCGGUUGAUUUGGGUGUGUGAACCCUUUUUGUGCUUUGGGCUGUCAGGAUUCAAGAUAGCAAUGAUGUUUGGAAGUCCCUUAUUAAAAAUAAUCAAUGAGGGAUUUGCAACCCUGUUUCUACUUCAGACUUGUGUGGAUAACUACAGGACAGAACUAUGAACAGACAAUGACAAUGGACUGAAGCUGCUCUUGCUUUGAUGGAGUUGUUGAUGGAGUGAGGGUGAGCAGUUGAUACAUGUAUAAAAAAAACAUAUACAUAAACUGCAUACCAGUCAUCAUGUCAGCAGUUGAGCCGAACUGAACGAGCAAAAGGACUUUUGAUGAUAAAGAUAUCUCAUCACUUUUUAAGUCAUUUUAAGAUAGUGAACAGAGCAGAAAUGGUAAACAGGUUCAGAUCAUUACAGUCCGAGUUGUCCACACCUCCUUGUUGUUCUGCUUCAGUGCUGGAAUAUAAGUACUGCACUGAACUACUGCUAUUAUGUGCCCGAGGUGCACCCCACCCAAACCUACCUCUCAACUAAAUUUCUGUAACGAUUCAAUUAAAAUUUGUAAAUAACUAAUACAUGGAUGGAAAAAUUGUCAUUUUGAGCUGAGCUGUAGCUGGACUCUUGUGCAAGUGCAACCCAACGCCCCGACUAAUGGUAGAACAGCAGGAAGCCUGUGGCCUUCGAAACGAGCUGUGGUUUCUGCACCUGACUGACACCUCUGCAUCUGUAACCUUUAACCGUUACGACCUUGAAGUGUAAAAAUAUAUCUUAUGUGUUCUAUGAAUUGUGAUGUGUGAUGCAAACAAAUAAAUAUCUAAUAGUU